This 505-nucleotide ribosomal RNA is filed under the name uncultured bacterium. Its description in RNAcentral is "partial 16S ribosomal RNA". It matches the Rfam family "Bacterial small subunit ribosomal RNA", at positions 28 to 507 of the family's 1533-position model. The record is from RNAcentral.
GACGAACGCUGGCGGCGUGCCUAAUACAUGCAAGUAGAACGCACAGUUUAUACCGUAGCUUGCUACACCAUAGACUGUGAGUUGCGAACGGGUGAGUAACGCGUAGGUAACCUGCCUGGUAGCGGGGGAUAACUAUUGGAAACGAUAGCUAAUACCGCAUAAUAUUAAUUAUUGCAUGAUAAUUAAUUGAAAGGUGCAAUUGCACCACUACCAGAUGGACCUGCGUUGUAUUAGCUAGUAGGUGAGGUAACGGCUCACCUAGGCGACGAUACAUAGCCGACCGGAGAGGGUGAUCGGCCACACUGGGACUGAGACACGGCCCAGACUCCUACGGGAGGCAGCAGUAGGGAAUCUUCGGCAAUGGACGAAAGUCUGACCGAGCAACGCCGCGUGAGUGAAGAAGGUUUUCGGAUCGUAAAGCUCUGUUGUAAGAGAAGAACGGGUGUGAGAGUGGAAAGUUCACACUGUGACGGUAUCUGACCAGAAAGGGACGGCUAACUACGUG